RNAcentral lists this ribosomal RNA (253 nucleotides) under uncultured bacterium. RNAcentral's name for it is "partial 16S ribosomal RNA". It matches the Rfam family "Bacterial small subunit ribosomal RNA", at positions 524 to 776 of the family's 1533-position model. The record is from RNAcentral.
UACGGAGGAUGCAAGCGUUAUCCGGAAUUAUUGGGCGUAAAGCGUCCGCAGGUGGCUAUGUAAGUCUGCUGUUAAAGAGUGAGGCUCAACCUCAUAAGAGCAGUGGAAACUACAUGGCUAGAGUGCGUUCGGGGCAGAGGGAAUUCCUGGUGUAGCGGUGAAAUGCGUAGGUAUCAGGAAGAACACCGGUGGCGAAAGCGCUCUGCUAGGCCGCAACUGACACUGAGGGACGAAAGCUAGGGGAGCGAAUGGG